AAAAGAAUGAUAUUUGCUUUUAUAAUCUUUUCCUUGCCUCCUAGAAAAUUAUCAGUUACUUUUACAACAAAACAGAAAAAGUUUCAAUACAUAAGUGAGAAAUCAGUAGUGAAUAAACCCCAUAAUGACAUAUCCAAAAUUGAAGAGCUUGCACUGUGAAUCUGCAUCCUUUUUGUUUUUUUUAUCAGUAAAGAGACCAAGCCCAAAUCUUGCAUGUUUAAUCAGAUCGUGGCAGCAAGAAACUAAAUCCUGAAUUUUCACGAAUAAGAGGUGGUGGUUCAAUGUCUGAGAUAUCAAUUUGUUCCAUUGACUUGGACAAGUCAUCCACUGAAAAUGGAAUGCUUGAAUCAUCAUCCAACAGGAAAGAACUGCUAACAGCAUUGUUUGAAUCUUCCGUCAUUAACACCCUCAUAUUGGAUAUAACUUCUGAGGACACACUGUGUGUCCCAUACUUGUCAUCCCAGUACAUUGUACUAAUCCGGUAGAGCUGCUGUAUACUGAGAACCGGGCACAGGUCAUGGCUUAUUUCAUCCAAUGUUUUCUUUGGUUUUUGAUGUAUGACCAGAAACCCAAUAGCCUGUCUUAUGUGCUUAAGCUCAUCCCAAGCUGAACCUGCAUACUCAUCUGUUGCCUUGUAACACCAAUGUUCCAAUUCAGCCAAUCCAGCUUUAACGUAUUCACCAUUACUAAAUGAACAGCACUCUCGCCUCAGCAAAAGACUGUUAAAUAGUUGAACAUUGAUGAAAGAAAAUAUUUGUGUGAACACCUUACGAACUAAAAAUGGGGGUACAUGAUUUGCUUUCAAAGUGUUUAAGAAGUUCCCAAGGCUCUUCACAAUCCCUUGCCAGUGAGCAAUCAAAGCUUGUUGUGCUGCAGUGUUUGCAACUGAACGUACUCCCUUAACUAAGCUUGCUCUGGAUAUUCUUGGUGCCUGGAUGCACAAUCCAAGCAAAGGAGAAAUUUCUUUCUUCAGAUUAUCUCGAAUCAUUCCAUAAAUUUUUUCGACAUAAGCUGUUUUUUGAAAAUAAAAGCCGGGUUCUUACCUUCAACUUGGCGCAAAUUAUCCACUCCCCCAUUAAUGCCCCCAUUGAUUAAGGAAAGAUUGACUCCUUGGGGAGCUCCACGGAAACUCUGUGUCAUUCUUCCAAACAGAGUAGCAGAUGAUGAUCGGCG
This 1173-nucleotide unclassified non-coding RNA is filed under the name Hevea brasiliensis (rubber tree). The record is from RNAcentral. Lineage: Eukaryota; Viridiplantae; Streptophyta; Magnoliopsida; Malpighiales; Euphorbiaceae.